GAUGAACGCUGGCGGCGUGCCUAAUACAUGCAAGUCGAGCGAACGGACGAGAAGCUUGCUUCUCUGAUGUUAGCGGCGGACGGGUGAGUAACACGUGGAUAACCUACCUAUAAGACUGGGAUAACUUCGGGAAACCGGAGCUAAUACCGGAUAAUAUUUUGAACCGCAUUGUUCAAAAGUGAGAGACGGUCUUUCUUUCACUUAUAGAUGGAUCCGCGUUGCAUUAGCUAGUUGGUAAGGUAACUGCUUACCAAGGCAAGGAUGCAUAGCCGACCUGAGAGGGUGGUCGCACACCUUGGAAGAGAGAAAGGGUACAGACUCCUACGGGAGGACGCAGUAGAGAAUCUUCCGCAAGGGGGGAGAGCCUGACGGAGGAACGCCGCGUGAGUGAUGAAGGUCUUCGGAUCGUAAAACUAUGUUAUUAGGGAAGAACAUAUGUGUAAGUAACCGUGAACAUAUUGACGGUACCUGAUCAAGAAGCCACGGCUAACUACGUG
RNAcentral lists this ribosomal RNA (497 nucleotides) under uncultured bacterium. RNAcentral describes it as "partial 16S ribosomal RNA". It matches the Rfam family "Bacterial small subunit ribosomal RNA", at positions 28 to 507 of the family's 1533-position model. The record is from RNAcentral.